RNAcentral lists this ribosomal RNA (274 nucleotides) under uncultured bacterium. Its description in RNAcentral is "partial 16S ribosomal RNA". It matches the Rfam family "Bacterial small subunit ribosomal RNA", at positions 523 to 796 of the family's 1533-position model. The record is from RNAcentral.
AUACGGAGGGUACAAGCGUUACUCGGAAUCACUGGGCGUAAAGCGCGCGCAGGCGGCUUGAUAAGUUGGAUGUGAAAGCCUACGGCUCAACCGUAGAACUGCAUCCAAAACUGUCAGGCUAGAGUGUGGGAGAGGAAGAUGGAAUUAGUUGUGUAGGGGUAAAAUCCGUAGAGAUAACUAGGGAUACCAAAAGCGAAGGCAAUCUUCUGGAACACUACUGACGCUGAGGCGCGAAGGCGUGGGGAGCAAACAGAAUUAGAAACCCCGGUAGUCC